This 23-nucleotide microRNA is filed under the name Oreochromis niloticus (Nile tilapia). Its description in RNAcentral is "oni-miR-10836". Lineage: Eukaryota; Metazoa; Chordata; Actinopteri; Cichliformes; Cichlidae. The record is from miRBase by way of RNAcentral.
UUUUAUAUGAUGAAUUCUGACCU